Molecule: unclassified non-coding RNA, 391 nt
Filed under: soil metagenome
Description: partial contains 5.8S ribosomal RNA, internal transcribed spacer 2, and large subunit ribosomal RNA
Rfam family: 5.8S ribosomal RNA (bases 1-122)
Source: RNAcentral
GAUGAAGAACGUAGUGAAAUGCGAUACUUGGUGUGAAUUGCAGAAUCCCGUGAACCAUCGAGUCUUUGAACGCAAGUUGCGCCCGAAGCCAUUAGGCCGAGGGCACGCCUGCCUGGGCGUCACACGUCGUUGCCCCCCCAUCUACUCCUUCGGGAUUGCGAGGGGCGGAUGAUGGCCUCCCGUGCGCCUCGUCGCGCGGUUGGCAUAAAUGCCAAGUCCUCGGCGACGCACGCCACGACAAUCGGUGGUUGCGAAACCUCGGUUGCCCGUCGUGUGCGGUCGUCGCGCAUCGAGGGCUCGAAAAAAUUGUCGGGCUCCGGCUCGGCUUUCAACGCGACCCCAGGUCAGGCGGGGUUACCCGCUGAAUUUAAGCAUAUCAAUAAGCGGAGGA